Molecule: non-coding RNA, 138 nt
Organism: Caenorhabditis elegans
Lineage: Eukaryota; Metazoa; Nematoda; Chromadorea; Rhabditida; Rhabditidae
Source: Ensembl
CGAUGGGGUUGGUUGCGAGGGUCUCAGUGGUGGUUGUGUGUCUCCGGAGCUCUCCGGAGCAGUGGCGGCGGUCCUUCUCUACGUCUCCGUCGUCUUUCCGUCGUCAUUCUGUGCAAAACGGGGCCGCGCCUUUCCUAU